AGCUUGUGUCGGAUGAAUAGCGUGGCGAAUUGACAGACUCAAGAAUAGUCUUAAGGCCUCCCAACCUGAACCUAGCAAACAAUGGAAGCCUUGAAGGGGGGUGGGCUGGUGGCUCAGCUAAGAGGGACGCUGCGAAUACUGGCAACACCAGCGCACAAGAGGGAUAGAAAACUAGACGUCUCUCUCUCUAACAGAUGGAUGACGCACAUAGUCUGUGAUUUUAUAUUCAAUGUAAACACAGACUCUGGUCCCCUUAACACUGAAGAAGGCAGGGGGAAAGUAAAGGGAAUGGCACAGGGAACGGGAGUGGGGGGAAGAGAAGAGGUGGGACACCCGGAGGACGGAACUAAUAUUUAUCAUUCGUGCCGUGCCAUUUUUUUUUAUCGCAUUUUCUAAAGCCCCAGAAACGCGCUCGAACAACAACCAUCAUCAUCAAGUGCACAGAAAAUACAUACAAAACAUGUUGACACAGUUGCACGCAGAGUUCGCAUUUUUUGGCAAAAGAAGCAGAACACUAACGCGAAAAAAUACAGAAAGCGGGCGAACAUAAGAUCGUCCCUCGCCCUCGUCCCACGCCACUAGGCCUCAAAACGCCAUUGAGCCUUUCCAGAGUAUGAGAGACAUGAUUGUGCACUUUGCACAUAUUCAACCAAAACGUGUGGAAACGUACAGAAAAAAAAAGCAAGACACACAGUUGGGAGAGGGAGAGAGAGAGAGAGAAACGAGAGAAAGAGACAGAGAGAGAGAGAGAGAGAGAGAGAGAGAGAGAGAGAGAGAGAGAGAGAGAGAGAGAGAAAAAGACCUGCGUGGUUGGAAGUGGAAGGAAGGGAAGGGGUUUUAAGUACACAAGCGAAGUAGGCACUCUUUCACACUGAGGGGAAAAAACAUGCCAAACAGCCGGAGUAGCGAACUCCGAGAGGAGAGGUGUUCAAAAUGGACUGAGUACACAGACAUGAAACAGGUAGAGAAACACAUAUGCAUAGGACAGAAGAGCAGGGGACAAGAUGGAGAGAAUAAGACAAUGGAGAAGUAGAAUGCAAACGCUAAAGGAUGAUAAAUACCAGCAGAGGUCGGAUGAGUCCGCUUGUCUCGCCCCGUUGUUCCGCUUUCCCCGCGAUUUUGUUCGGUUCGGCUGUCCCUGUUGUCGUCCUCUGCUCUCUGUCAGUCUUCUUUCUUCACAACUCUUCUCUUUCUCCCCUUUUUCACUUCUCUCUGAUUCGGUCCGGCUCUCUCCGUCCUCCUCCUCCUCCUCCUCCUCCUCCUCCUCCUUCUCUCGCUCGCUCGCUUUCUUUCACGCUCUGUCUCACUGUUUCUGCCUCUCAUCCCCCUUUCCCAGAGACACCUUUCUGUUCCUCUUCCUCUUCCUCUUCCUCCACGGAUCAGCAGAGAGAGAGAGAAAAACAGAAAAGAUCAACUGUUCAAAAAAGAAAAAGCUGAAGCACAAAUUGUGCUGAAACAAAAUGAAAGAAGGGGCCUCAAAGAGGACGCCAGCUGUCAACCCAGCCACCGAUACUGGAACAGCGCGAGACACAGCAAGAGAAAAGACAGAGAGAGACGGAGAAAGAGAGACAGAGAGAGAGCGAGAGAGAGAGAGAGGGAGAGAGAGAGAGAGAGAGAGCAGCACAGAACCGGUUUCUCAGCCAGGAAAACACAAGCACACAGGAGAGAAGAAAAGUCCUGGAGCUAUAGCGGUGAGAGAGGAGUGAACGAGGGAGACAGAGAGAGAGAGAGAGAGAGAGAGAGAGAGAGAGAGAGAGGAGUGAACGAGUGAGAGAGAGAGAGAGAAGGAGAGAGAGAGCGGGGGAGAGCGAGCGGUAAUAUGUGUUUCUAAGUGUAGGCUAGGAAUGGUUGGCAGGGAGAGGAAAGAAGAGGGAGGGAGGGAGGGAGAGAGGGAGGGAGAGAGGGAGGGGUGUUGGGACUGGGACGGAAUAUCUUAGUGG
This is a long non-coding RNA of Clupea harengus (Atlantic herring), 1940 nucleotides long. The record is from Ensembl. Lineage: Eukaryota; Metazoa; Chordata; Actinopteri; Clupeiformes; Clupeidae.